ACACACAGAGAGAGGGGGGGGGGAGAGAACACAAUGGAAUAGAGAAUCCUUGGAUUUUAUACCUGAUGAUGUUUUGACGGACAGACCACCAAACAGAGACAAAGAAGAAAUGGGGAAAGAGAAGAAGAGAAGAUGUCCCCCUGUUGCUAUUGAAUGUGUUUAACAGGCUUUGGUCUGGCAUGUGUUUAUUUGAGGUACAGUUCUACUUUGACCUUUGAACCUUUUAGAAGGACAUUAGCCACUGCUUUAGACUCCUGAACAAUCAACCAAUUACCUGAUCAGCGGCUGUCAGUGAAACAUUGGCUACAUUCCAAUUCUCUUGAAGUGUGUACAUGUACCCCCUGGUGGAUUUAAAAGGCAUGGAAUGGUUACAGUAUUAUAUGGUGGCCAUUGUGUCCACCUGGCUGAAGGUAUCCUCCUCACUCAGAUCACAGAUCCAGGAUCAGCUUAUCCUCCCCGUAUCAGAUCUUUAUCCAAUAGGGGUUUUACACGCAAAACUGAUCAUAGAUCAGUGUCUAAAGACAACUACAUAACUGGUCUUUUAAUUUGUUCCUUUUGAUUGUUUAAGGAAAACUUCCUCCUCCUCUGAGGCUGUGUCCUGACUGGCACCCUGUUUCUUUUAUAGUGCACUGCUUUUGACCAGAGCCUAUAGGAAGUAGUGCACUAGGAAAUAGGGUUCAUUUGACCAGGACCCCGAGGGCUUAGUGCACUGCUUUUGACCAGGGCCCCGAGGGCUUUGUGCACUGCUUUUGACCAGGGCCCCGAGGGCUUAGUGCACUGCUUUUGACCAGAGCCUAUAGGACUCAGUGCACGGCCCUGGUCAAAAGUAGUGCACUAGGAAAUAGGGUGCAUUUGGGACGCAGACUGAGUGGGCUUUGUGCACUGCUUUUGACCAGGACCCCGAGGGCUUAGUGCACUGCUUUUGACCAGGGCCCUGAGGGCUUAGUGCACUGCUUUUGACCAGGGCCCCGAGGGCUUAGUGCACUGCUUUUGACCAGGGCCCCGAGGGCUUAGUGCACUGCUUUUGACCAGGGCCCCGAGGGCUUAGUGCACUGCUUUUGACCAGGGCCCCGAGGGCUUAGUGCACUGCUUUUGACCAGGGCCCCGAGGGCUUUGUGCACUGCUUUUGACCAGGGCCCCGAGGGCUUUGUGCACUGCUUUUGACCAGGGCCCUGAGGGCUUAGUGCACUGCUUUUGACCAGGGCCAGCAGCACCUGUGUGACCUCACAGACAGGAAAACAGUGAGCAGCACCUGUGUAACCUCACAGACAGGAAGACAGUGAGCAGCACCUGUGUGACCUCACAGACAGGAAGACAGUGAGCAUCACCUGUGUGACCUCACAGACAGGAAGACAGUGAGCAGCACCUGUGUGACCUCACAGACAGGAAGACAGUGAGCAGCACCUGUGUGACCUCACAGACAGGAAGACAGUGAGCAGCACCUGCGUGACCUCACAGACAGGAAGACAGUGAGCAUCACCUGCGUAACCUCACAGACUGGAAGACAGUGAGCAUCACCUGCGUAACCUCACAGACAGGAAGACAGUGAGUAGCACCUGCGUGACCUCACAGACAGGAAGACAGUGAGCAGCACCUGCGUGACCUCACAGACAGGAAGACAGUGAGCAGCACCUGCGUGACCUCACAGACAGGAAGACAGUGAGCAGCACCUGCGUGACCUCACAGACAGGAAGACAGUGUUCAACAUGCUUCAUUCAGAACAACCUUUGGUCCGACAGAAAACAACAUUCGUUCAAACCAUUAUGCAACCUCUCCGUUGGAGUUAGAGGCUGGGGACCAUGUUGACACUGGAACACGUUGUAACCUCCGGACUAAACUGUUGUUGUUGUUGUUAGCAGGUACCAGGUGGUUUUGUAACACUGUCUAUGGGUUGUUUAGACCAAACGGUGGACCUCUAAGAUGAUAGAGGGAGAGAGAGACACGGGACCAGAACAGGACAGGUUUUUGUGUCAGUGUUUUUUGGGGAAGAAAUGUAAAGGAUACAUUUUAUACAAAAGUAAAGCCGCUUCAAAUCCUCAAAACUCCUUGUCCCCUGAGCCUGAGCCUUCUCAAUCCCAAACAUAUACCCAGCCCUGCCCAGCCUCUACCCUCACUUCACCUGGUCUAACCUAUUCAUGACAGGUCUGGGGAAAUAACAGGAGAAAUGUGAUGACUAAAACACCAGAGAACUGGGGAGAAAAUAGGAGUCAACGGCAUAAACUGACUGACAUACAAUGAGUGUACAAAACAUUAAGAGCACCUUCCUAAUAUUGACUUGCACCCCUUUUGUCCUCAGAACAGCCUCAUUUCGUCAGGAGUAUAGACUCUACAAGGUGUUGAAAGCGUUCCACAGGGAUGCUGGCCCAUGUUGACUCCAAUGCUUCCCACAGUUGUGUCAAGUCAGCUGGAUGUCCUUUGGGUGGUGGACCAUUCUUGAUACACACGGGAAACUGUUGAGCGUGAAAAACCCAGCAGCGUUGCAGUUCUUGACACAACGGUGUGCCAGGCACCUCCUACCAUACCCUGUUCAAAGACACAUGUUUCUUGCCCACUCACCCUCUGAAUGUCCCACAUACACAAUCCAUGUCUCAAUUGUCUCAAGUCUUAAAAAUCCUUCUUUAACCUGUCUCCUUCCCUGAUUGAAAUGGAUUUAACAAGUGACAUCAAUAAGGGAUAAUAGCUUUCACCUGGUCAGUCUAGGGGCGGCAGGUAGCCUAGUGGUUAGAGUGUAGGGGCGGCAGGUAGCCUAGUGGUUAGAGUGUAGGGGCGGCAGGUAGCCUAGUGGUUAGAGUGUUGGACUAGUAACCGAAAGGUUGCAAGAUCGAAUCCCCAAGCUGACAAGGUAAAAAUCUGUCGUUCUGCCCCUGAAGAAGGCAGUUCCUAGGCCGUCAUUGAAAAUAAGAAUUUGUUCUUAUUUCUUUAUAUGUAAAUAAAUGAAAUGUAAACACACAUUGAAAUGAAUUUCAAACCCAUUGAAGUGAAUGUAAUGUAUUUCAACACAGGGUAUUACAUCUGCCAAACUAAUCAAUCACCCACCACCAGCAUUUACUACAGGACUGAGUUCACCUCUCCGUGUUUCACAGCUGUGUUGUGAUUGGAUACGUUUUGCAGUUCUGGGCUCUCAUUGGAUAAUUUUGGCAGUUGUGGGCUUUCAUCUCACCCUGUGUCGCUUGUUCUCAUUGAGUUAUUUGUUGUAAAUUGUCGCCGGCUCUUACUGUGUUAGACUGUCCUAUUAGGUCUCUGUUCUGUCUGUCACUCUGUCAGACUGUCCUAGCAGGUCUCUGUUCUGUCUGUCACUGUGUCAGACCGUCCUAGCAGGUCUCUGUUCUGACUGUCCUAGCAGGUCUCUGUUCUGACUGUCCUAGCAGGUCUCUGUUCUGACUGUCCUAGCAGGUCUCUGUUCUGACUGUCCUAGCAGGUCUCUGUUCUGUCUGUCACUGUGUCAGACUGUCCUAUUAGGUCUCUGUUCUGUCUGUCCUAGCAGGUCUCUGUUCUGACUGUCCUAGCAGGUCUCUGUUCUGACUGUCCUAGCAGGUCUCUGUUCUGACUGUCACUGUGUCAGACUGUCCUAGCAUGUCUCUGUUCUGUCUGUCACUGUGUCAGACUGUCCUAGCAGGUCUCUGUUCUGACUGUCCUAGCAGGUCUCUGUUCUGUCUGUCACUGUGUUAGACUGUUCUAGCAGGUCUCUGUUCUGUAUGUCACUGUUCUGACUGUCCUAUUAGGUCUCUGUUAUGUCUGUCACUGUGUCAGACCGUCCUAGAAGGUCUCUGUUCUGUCUGUCACUGUGUCAGACUGUCCUAUUAGGUCUCUGUUCUGUCUGUCACUGUGUCAGACUGUCCUAUUAGGUCUCUGUUCUGUCUGUCACUGUGUCAGACUGUUCUAGCAGGUCUCUGUUCUGUCUGUCACUGUUCUGACUGUCCUAGCAGGACUCUGUUCUGACUGUCCUAGCAGGUCUCUGUUCUGUCUGUCACUGUUCUGACUGUCCUAGCAGGACUCUGUUCUGACUGUCCUAGCAGGUCUCUGUUCUGACUGUCCUAGCAGGACUCUGUUCUGACUGUCCUAGCAGGUCUCUGUUCUGUCUGUCACUGUGUCAGACUGUCCUAGCGGGUCUCUGUUCUGUCUGUCACUGUGUCAGACUGUCUUAGCAGGUCUCUGUUCUGACUGUCCUAGCAGGUCUCUGUUCUGACUGUCACUGUGUCAGACUGUCCUAGCAGGACUCUGUUCUGACUGUCCUAGCAGGUCUCUGUUCUGACUGUCCUAGCAGGUCUCUGUUCUGACUGUCCUAGCAGGUCUCUGUUCUGACUGUCCUAGCAGGUCUCUGUUCUGACUGUCCUAGCAGGUCUCUGUUCUGACUGUCCUAGCAGGUCUCUGUUCUGACUGUCCUAGCAGGUCUCUGUUCUGACUGUCCUAGCAGGUCUCUGUUCUGACUGUCCUAGCAGGACUCUGUUCUGACUGUCCUAGCAGGACUCUGUUCUGACUGUCCUAGCACGGCUCCACACCAUUCUGGGAGUACUGUUCUAUCUGUAAAGUCAAAUCCCCUGGUUGCUCGUUUUAUGUUUUCUAUUGUAAACAAUGAGAUGCUUUUGGAAUAAAAGUCUAAAGCAAAACAUUCCAGUUA
This is a long non-coding RNA of Salvelinus fontinalis (brook trout), 4618 nucleotides long. RefSeq lists it as uncharacterized. The record is from RefSeq and is a predicted model, not a curated record. The transcript has 2 exons. Lineage: Eukaryota; Metazoa; Chordata; Actinopteri; Salmoniformes; Salmonidae.